GAUAGAGCUCACCACAAGUUGAAAUCAAUAGUGCACACACUAUCCUUUGGUUAUGGGACAUUUGCCUAACAAAGGUUUCCCUUCAAGGGAGAUGGAAAAGAAAUUUCUUAAUCUAUUUCAAGGAGAACGAUUGUGGACAAAUAUGAGACUAAAUUUGAUAGACUAUCCUACUUUGCUCCUGCACUAGCCAUAAAUGAUGAAUUUAAGAUGAAGAGAUUAGAGGAAGG
Molecule: long non-coding RNA, 227 nt
Filed under: Elaeis guineensis (African oil palm)
Lineage: Eukaryota; Viridiplantae; Streptophyta; Magnoliopsida; Arecales; Arecaceae
Description: long non-coding RNA (EGUI_LNC036245)
Source: RNAcentral